This 713-nucleotide ribosomal RNA is filed under the name Ixodes columnae. Its description in RNAcentral is "12S ribosomal RNA". The record is from RNAcentral. Lineage: Eukaryota; Metazoa; Arthropoda; Arachnida; Ixodida; Ixodidae.
AAAUUUAAAUAUAGUUUUAUAAAAAAUUUAUUAAAUUUUCUUUAUAUUUUAUAAUGUAAAUUUAUUUUAAAUAGAAGAUAUUUUUAUAAUUUUUUUUAAAAAUUAAAAAUAGAAAUUUAUAUAAAAUAUUUGGCUAAACUUGUGCCAGCCGCCGCGGUUAUACAAGUAAAUAUAUUUUUUUAUAUUAAAAUUAAUAAAAAAAAAUAUUAAUAUUUUAAAAGAUAAUUAAGGUGAAAUUUAUUUCUUUAUUAAGUUUAUUUUGAUUUUAAUAAAAUUUAUUAAUUAAACUAGGAUUAGAUACCCUAUUAUUUUAAGCUUAAUGUUGUUAGUAAAUAAAAUUUAUGAAAACAUAAGAUUUUGGCGGUAUUUUAAGCUUUUUAGAGGAAUUUGCUCUGUAAUGGAUAAAACGCCUGAAUCUUACAUAAUUUAGUAAAGUCAAUUUGUAUACCACUAUGUUAAAUUAUAUUAAAUGGUUAUAUUUAAAGUUUUUUUAAUAAAAAAUAUAUUAAGUCAAGGUGCAAUAAAAAAUUAUGAAUGAAGUGAAUUACAAUGAAUAUAUUUAAUUAGUUAAAAUGAAAAGUUGAAUAGGAUUUAAAAGUAAAAUUUUUAAUAUUAUGAUAAUUUGAAUUAAGCUCUAAAAUAUGCACAUAUCGCCCGUCGCUCUCUUUAUAGAGAUAAGUCGUAACAAAGUAAAAGUACUGGAAAGUGUUUUU